UACGAAGGGGGCUAGCGUUGUUCGGAAUUACUGGGCGUAAAGGGCGCGUAGGCGGCCCUCCAAGUCAGAUGUGAAAGCCCCGGGCUUAACCUGGGAAUUGCAUUUGAGACUGAAGGGCUUGAGUUUCGGAGAGGUGGGUGGAAUUCCCAGUGUAGAGGUGAAAUUCGUAGAUAUUGGGAAGAACACCGGUGGCGAAGGCGGCCCACUGGACGGAACACUGACGCUGAGGCGCGAAAGCGUGGGGAGCAAACAGG
This 254-nucleotide ribosomal RNA is filed under the name uncultured bacterium. RNAcentral describes it as "partial 16S ribosomal RNA". It matches the Rfam family "Bacterial small subunit ribosomal RNA", at positions 524 to 776 of the family's 1533-position model. The record is from RNAcentral.